GGGCGCGUCGUCUAGCCUGAAUCUAAAGAUUCCUAGAAUGGUUAGGACAUCGCCUUGACAUGGCGAAGGUCCCCGGUUCAAAUCCGGGCGUGCCCA
Molecule: transfer RNA, 96 nt
Filed under: Nitrososphaerota archaeon
Lineage: Archaea; Thermoproteati; Nitrososphaerota
Description: Thaumarchaeota archaeon tRNA-Val
Rfam family: tRNA
About the family: Transfer RNA (tRNA) molecules are approximately 80 nucleotides in length. Their secondary structure includes four short double-helical elements and three loops (D, anti-codon, and T loops).
Source: RNAcentral